UACGGAGGAUCCAAGCGUUAUCCGGAAUUACUGGGCGUAAAGAGUUGCGUAGGUGGCUUGUUAAGCAGACAGUGAAAUCGUGUGGCUCAACCAUACAUACAUUGUCUGAACUGACAUGGCUAGAGAGCGAGAGAGGUGGCUGGAAUUCCCAGUGUAGGAGUGAAAUCCGUAGAUAUUGGGAGGAACACCGAUGGCGUAGGCAGGCCACUGGCUCGUCUCUGACACUAAGGCACGAAAGCGUGGGGAGCGAACGGG
RNAcentral lists this ribosomal RNA (255 nucleotides) under uncultured bacterium. RNAcentral describes it as "partial 16S ribosomal RNA". It matches the Rfam family "Bacterial small subunit ribosomal RNA", at positions 524 to 776 of the family's 1533-position model. The record is from RNAcentral.